Molecule: ribosomal RNA, 306 nt
Filed under: Triticum aestivum (bread wheat)
Lineage: Eukaryota; Viridiplantae; Streptophyta; Magnoliopsida; Poales; Poaceae
Description: partial small subunit ribosomal RNA
Source: RNAcentral
AUGAUUUUUCCUGUUAAAAAAUAUUUGUUCGUUGACAAUUUAAAACAAACCUUCCAAGUACUUCAAGAACUUAAAUACUCUUUAAUAGAUGAAAAUAAAAGGAUUUCUAAUUUCGAUAGUAACAUAAUGUUGGAUCCAUUCCUUUUGAAUUGUCACUUUGUCCAUCAUGAUUCUUGGGAAGAGACAUUGGCAAUAAUUCACCUUGGACAAUUUAUUUGUGAAAAUGUAUGUCUAUUUAAAUCGCACAUAAAAAAUCGGUCAAAUUUUCAUUGUAAAUAUGAAUUCCUUUGUUAUAAGAGCAGCUAA